UGCCAUUGGAAAACAAGAUAGUUAGUAACUGAUUUGGAAGUGCAGAUAAACUGAUUUGGCCUCAUGAUCAGUCAAGUCUCUAUACAGUCAAGAGAGCCUAGCUUCUCCAUAGUUGAUUCUCAAAUGGAAGAGCAGAACUUGGUGUCCUGGCUCUCAGAUGUGGGCUGACCUGUGGAAGCUUGAACUCCCUUUCAAAGUCUUUACUUUCCUUUGGAAACUACUAAAUGAUGGUCUUCCAGUGAGAAGGGAGUUAGCAAAUAGGAAUCUCAUCACUGAUGCAUCUUGUCCUUUAUGUGCUAUUGAAGAGGGAUGCCUGGAUCGUCUAUUUAUUGCCUAUAACUUAGCUUGUGCAUGUGUUUAAGAUCCCACUUACCAUUGGAAGGUAAUUGAGUCAAAGUCAAGUCAUAAUUGCAUUGCUACUUGGCUGGAAAGAGUUUAUAAGCGUAGGACCAGUGCAAUCACCUCACUGUAUUCUUUGCCAACACUCUUUGGGCUAUUCGGAUACAUAGAAACAAAGUAGUGCAUGAAGGAAUAAGUGUUAAUGCUAGCUUUUUAAGUCCUAAGUCAUAGUGCUGACCUCUCUGCUAUUUAUAGGGAUGCAGCAAACGCAUGGGAAAUGGACACUUCUGUUAAACAACCUGAUGUGCUCUUCAGCAGGUUACUUGGCAGUAUGGCACAUGAUCGGAUGUUGAAGGUACCAAGAGAAAAGGUGCAAUUAAAGGAACCAAUUUAAGCAGUUCAAAAAGUUUCUUUGUUGGUUGAUUGUAGAUGGAUGAUGGUGUAGAUCUUUUAGUAUCAUGUCAAUUCUAAUGCAAAAAUUUUCACAUCAGAUUUCUUUGAUAAUCCUAUCCGUGACCUUCAUUUGGCAUCGUGAUGAUAGAGUAAUGUUUUACCAUGCCAUGUAAAUGGUGGUGUUGGUUGAUCUUUUUUAAGAGGAUUAUGAUGUAUUUAAUUUUGGUGUCUCAUGUUUUCCUUUUCCCUUGUUUAUGCAUGGGAAGAAGAUUAUAAAGUAUUAAAGUUGUUUUGUAA
This is a long non-coding RNA of Quercus robur (English oak), 1029 nucleotides long. RefSeq lists it as uncharacterized. The transcript is spliced from 2 exons. NCBI's taxonomy places the organism in Eukaryota, Viridiplantae, Streptophyta, Magnoliopsida, Fagales, Fagaceae. The record is from RefSeq and is a predicted model, not a curated record.